AGUGAACGCUGGCGGUAGGCCUAACACAUGCAAGUCGAACGGCAGCACAGUAAGAGCUUGCUCUUACGGGUGGCGCGUGGCGGACGGGUGAGGAAUACAUCGGAAUCUACUUUUUCGUGGGGGAUAACGUAGGGAAACUUACGCUAAUACCGCAUACGACCUACGGGUGAAAGCAGGGGAUCUUCGGACCUUGCGCGAUUGAAUGAGCCGAUGUCGGAUUAGCUAGUUGGCGGGGUAAAGGCCCACCAAGGCGACGAUCCGUAGCUGGUCUGAGAGGAUGAUCAGCCACACUGGAACUGAGACACGGUCCAGACUCCUACGGGAGGCAGCAGUGGGGAAUAUUGGACGAUGGGCGCAAGCCUGAUCCAGCCAUACCGCGUGGGUGAAGAAGGCCUUCGGGUUGUAAAGCCCUUUUGUUGGGAAAGAAAAGCAGCAGGUUAAUACCCCGCUGUUCUGACGGUACCCAAAGAAUAAGCACCGGCUAACUUCGUG
Molecule: ribosomal RNA, 492 nt
Filed under: uncultured bacterium
Lineage: Bacteria
Description: partial 16S ribosomal RNA
Rfam family: Bacterial small subunit ribosomal RNA
Source: RNAcentral